Non-coding RNA from Caenorhabditis elegans, 180 nucleotides. NCBI's taxonomy places the organism in Eukaryota, Metazoa, Nematoda, Chromadorea, Rhabditida, Rhabditidae. The record is from Ensembl.
UUCUCUAAUUCAACGAGCAUGUUUUCUUUUUUUCUGGUUUCACUGAAUCUAUAGAAAAAAAGAUAAUUGUCUAAAAUUAUUCAGAGAUGGCAUGAACUUAUAAAACAUUCGUAUUUUUCGGCACGCGUCUGGCACGUUUUUCAAAAUUCCAAGAUAUUAGGUUGCAGUGAUGCUGUCUAA